Molecule: long non-coding RNA, 2229 nt
Organism: Phyllostomus discolor (pale spear-nosed bat)
Lineage: Eukaryota; Metazoa; Chordata; Mammalia; Chiroptera; Phyllostomidae
Exons: 2
Source: RefSeq, a predicted model, not a curated record
CUCCCUCCCUUCCCCUCUGUCUAAAAAUAAAUAAACAAAAUCUUAAAAAAAAAAAAAGGAAGGAAGAAAUAUAACUUCCAAAAAAAAGUUUCAGAAAACAGACGAUCUGAAUGUCCUUGCCUAUUCACUACCAGGAACAUCCACCCUGUAAUGCUCUAAAUCCCUAAACUAAGCAAGAGGCAGGGACCUCACAGCCCACCAAAGGGUGAAAUUCUUAUGCUAAGGCUGCAAACCUGCUCCAGCCAGCCCAGGAACAAAUAGGAAGGCCACAAGUUAGAAUGGCAUUCAAAAAACUCUUAAUGUUUCCAACAUUACUACUUGUACAUCCUCAAUAUCUUAACUCUUUAUGCCUAUGGCCAAAGCAAACAAACCAAAAACUCUUAAGAUCGACACCUGUUGCAUAUAGCUUCAAACAACUGUUUUUCCUAUCACACAAUUAGUAUUAAAGUCCAAGAGUUCUGCUGAAAUCUGUGGUACAGAAUGAUUUCUGUUAAAAAAGAAGGCCGCAGAGAAGAACAGGCUACAUACACUAUAAAGUCAAUCAGAAUCAUUAUGCUCAUAAACAAGCAUCCCCCAAAAUGGUAUGUUUCCUUCAAAUACCUGCCUGGAUAAUAACUUUGAUCCAAUCAUUAAUAUUAGACAUAAGAAAAUACCUUCCAGCCUUACCUGGCCAUCACUCUUAUCGUCUAAACCAGGAAAAAGCAAACAGGGUGAUGAGUGGUUGGUACCCAUGUUGACUUCUGACUUUUUAAAAUAAUGCCAACACCUGGCUGGUUCCCUGGCAUUUUGUCAAGUUGCUUUCAAUUUUCUACCAGCACCAACUCCAGUGCCUGACCCUAGGAGGUUCUCCUAUAUUUUAAAAAAUGAACGCUUAACUCAUAAUGAUGCCACCACCUACUAAAGUUUUGCAAGGCAAAAGCACAAGUUUGCAAUUGACUUCCUUUGCUGAUAAAAGAACUGUAUUCUGUAACAAAGGAAGAAUACAGGACAUCUCUUUGUGGUUACCUAAAGAUUAUCUACAGAUUGACAGCUAUAGCUACUAAGAAUAGAGAAUGUCAAGAUUAAGGUAAAUUCUCCUAUUUAGGUCUAGCAAUGCUUUUCCCCUAACUUGUCCCCCUGAUUGACCAACUUCCCAAUUCUCUUUCCCCAGCCAACUACUGCUCUGCAGUGCCAGAUACUGCCUUUCUGAGUGAUCAAUAAAAUGAAGCAGCAGCAGCAGCAGCAGCAGACAGAAAAAACUGAAAGGAAAAGAGGCGGUGGGGGUACGCAUACAUAAUAGUAAAAAUAAAGGCUUUUCCCCUUAUCUGUGGAGAACAAAUUUCAUAAAGAAACAAGAAUUAGGGGAGAGAGACAAAGAGAUUCUGAGAUAGGGGGAAAAAUGACUACGAAGUACUAAAAGUAUCCAAAAACCACUAGAAGCCAAAAUCUUGAAAAUGGUUGUAAUCUACCUUUCAAAAAACACUGGCUAUGUUCUUUCUACAAGACAAUAGAAUAUAUUCAGACAGCAUUCUUUAAAAUCCAAACAAAUGGCAUUUCAAUUCACUAAUAUCUCUUUUCAUGUACUGAUAUCUAUACAACACACACCCCUCCGACGCUAUAUAUAUUGUUGAUACCUAAAAAAUUGUUACUGCUUUCCUGACCUUAUAACAAGGGUACUAACAGCUGUCUUAGAGGUUGACUAUCAUAAUCAGACUGAACAAUUUUAAAUUUAUUUAUCCGCAUAAAUUUACUUAUACUCAGCAACACAAGUGAUGGGUUCUGCAUGUAAAACAUACACUAGAUUUCAAAGACUUAUACCAAAUAUGUCAUUAGCAAUUUUUUAUACUGAUUAAGUAUUGAAAUAAUAUCUUUGAUAUAUUAGGUUAAUUUAAUAUGUUAUUAAAAUUAGUUUCACCAGUUUCUUUUUUUAAUGUCACUACCAGAAAACUUAAAAUAAUACACAUGCCUUACAUUUAUGACUUCUGUUACAUUUCAAUUAGACAACAUUAGUCUAGAACACAGUAAGAAAAGAAAGAAACAAUAGCCUGAAAAUUAUACUGAAAUAACAAAACCCCCUAUCCAUCUCAGUGAAGGCUUUUAUCUCCACGCUGCCUUCACCACACCACCAAUCUUUGUCCUUAAUAUAGUGCUUGGCACAUAAUGUGCACUCAAUAAAUAUUUCUUUAGUGUAGUUCAGCAAAGGUAACCAAGACACAAGAUUAAAAUGCAGUAUUGAAAGUAGCUUUGAAA